RNAcentral lists this transfer RNA (63 nucleotides) under Merostenus sp. RNAcentral's name for it is "tRNA-Glu". The record is from RNAcentral. Lineage: Eukaryota; Metazoa; Arthropoda; Insecta; Hymenoptera; Eupelmidae.
AUUUAUAUAGUUUAAAUAAAACAUUAUAUUUUCAUUAUAAAAAUAAUUUAAUAUUUGUAAAUU